CCUACGGGAGGCAGCAGUGAGGAAUAUUGGUCAAUGGGCGGGAGCCUGAACCAGCCAAGCCGCGUGAAGGAUGAAGGUACUCAGUAUCGUAAACCUCUUUUGUCAGGGAACAAAGGCGGGGACGUGUCCCCUGAUGAAUGUACCUGAAGAAAAAGCAUCGGCUAACUCCGUGCCAGCAGCGGCGGUAAUACGGAGGAUGCGAUCGUUAUCCUGAUUUAUUGUGUUUAAAGGGAGGGCAGGGGGUAUGUUAAGUCAGCGGAAAAAGCCGGUGGCACAACGCAGGCCCGCCGUUGAAACUGGCAGUCGCGAGUUGGAGAGGUGGGCGGAAUUCGUGGUGUAGCGGUGAAAUGCUUAGAUAUCACGAAGAACUCCGAUUGCGAAGGCAGCUCACUGGACUGCAACUGACACUGAGGCUCGAAAGUGUGGGUAUCAAACAGGAUUAGAUACCCGGGUAGUC
This 457-nucleotide ribosomal RNA is filed under the name uncultured bacterium. Its description in RNAcentral is "partial 16S ribosomal RNA". It matches the Rfam family "Bacterial small subunit ribosomal RNA", at positions 338 to 795 of the family's 1533-position model. The record is from RNAcentral.